This 253-nucleotide ribosomal RNA is filed under the name uncultured bacterium. RNAcentral describes it as "partial 16S ribosomal RNA". It matches the Rfam family "Bacterial small subunit ribosomal RNA", at positions 524 to 776 of the family's 1533-position model. The record is from RNAcentral.
UACAGAGGGUGCAAGCGUUAAUCGGAAUUACUGGGCGUAAAGGGCGCGUAGGUUGUUAUCAAAGUCAGAUGUGAAAUGUUUGGGCUUAACCUAGACAUGCCAUCUGAGACUUGAAGACUAGAGUGCAGUAGAGGGAAGAGGAAUUUCCGGUGUAGCGGUGAAAUGCGUAGAUAUCGGAAGGAACAUCAGUGGCGAAGGCGUCUUCCUGGACUGACACUGACACUGAGGCGCGAAAGCGUGGGUAGCGAACAGG